GGAGGAAGAGGCAUUAGUACCAGAGGAGGAGGAAGAGGCAUUAAUACCAGAGGAGAAAGAGGCAUUAGUACCAGAGGAGGAAGAGGCAUAAACUCUAGAGGAGGGAGAGGUAUAAAUGCUAGAGGAGGGAGAGGUAUAAAUGCUAGAGGAGGGAGAGGCAUCAGUACUAGAGGAGGAAGAGGAAGAAUUCCCAAUAACCAAGGAGGUUCCUCAAGUCACCUCAACCGUGACCAUCAGGAGACAUACCAGCAGGUGAUGGGCACAGACACUGCAUUUAGACAAAAACUAGCGAGGAGAAAGAUCCAGCAAGCACGCAGGACUUUAGCAGUAUCACGGCAGAACACUAGGUCUCAAGCCAGAGCCAAUAUUGUUGAUGAACGCAGAGGCAUUACUGGAGGAAUGAAGCAGACCAAGGGCAACUUGGGAACACCUCUCGGAGUGCGAGUUGGGAGCGGCACUAUUGUCAGGGGGCUACGUUCAGAUCAGCUCUUACUUCACAAGAUGCAGAACGCCCACAACACCCACACUAAUACAAGUCUCAACAGAAUAGAAACAUUCACAGAAAAAGUUAGUACAGUAUAUUCUU
Homarus americanus (American lobster) is the source of this 586-nucleotide long non-coding RNA. RefSeq lists it as uncharacterized. The record is from RefSeq and is a predicted model, not a curated record. The transcript is spliced from 3 exons. NCBI's taxonomy places the organism in Eukaryota, Metazoa, Arthropoda, Malacostraca, Decapoda, Nephropidae.